AUAUUCAUGCAAUUUGGGCCAGGUUUGCCUUAGACCCAACUGUUCGCAUCUUUCGAAAAUAAGCAUUGGGCCCAAAAGAGCCCAGAUCAGGUGCAGGGCCAAUUACGGGAGGCUUGGGACUUAGGAUUUAAACUCCCCUUUCAUAACACCAAACCAAACUUUCAAAACAUCAAGGUUUAAGACCUAAUUUCCCACUGGACUGACUGUACAGAGAUCUUGAACAAAACUAAUAAGCAACUUAAACUACUAAUAAGCAAAUUAAGCUACUAAUAAGCAAAUUAAACUACACUCAACCACCAAACUACUCCAAACAUGAAUCAGAAAACCACAAUGGCCAUUCCACAUCAAUAGCCAACUGCAAACACAUACUUUCAAUUUCAAAACCAUGUAACUCAACCACAACUUACUUUCUCUUAUCAUAGUUCAUGUACAUAAACACCAAACCCAAAUUCAUGUUAACCACAUGACUAGCCCAUGAUUUACCAGAUAUUACAAGCCAAACAUAAAACCAAACAGAUAAUAAAGUAGAAUGUGACAAAGAGACCAAACUAACUAUAGGAAUUGAUGAUUUGUAAGAGGUAGAAUUCAAUAAACUGAUAUAUUUUACAUUUCAACUCAAUCAGACACAUUGUGUUCCUCCAUUUCACAUGUCAAAGAGGUAAAAAUAUCUGGAAAUGACAAAGGAAAUAAAGAACUGAAGAAUCAGUGGACAACAGCAAGCAAAAUAGAGCCCAGACUCGGUCAAUAAAACAGUAAAAACCAGCUCAAAAAACAGUCGAUGUGGAGGAACCACAAAUCAACACCCCAACUUCAAACCAAACUCAAACCAUUUUCUCAAACCCAACAGUAUAACUAUGGAGCUUUUUCAAGAGUUUUAGCUAAAAGAAUCAGAAAUCCAAAAAAAAAAACAAGCCACAUUUUGAGCAGUUUUCCACCAAGAACUGCAGAAAAUCAGUAUUCUUUUUAGAGUCAGCCGUUCAGUUUUUUCAGGUUAUUUUAUCUCUAAUUUUUGACUUCAGUUUCAAGUAUAAAUGCCUUUAUAGGCAAGGUUUUAGGGUUGCAGAAACAAGCUCUAUUUUGCACUUAAAACCUCUUGCAAUUUUGGUUGCUCAGGUACCCUCACUUAAAGAAUCAAAUUUUCAGUUAAGCUCCAACGACACCUUCCUAGCAACUUCCUAAUUCAGUUACUGAGAUUUCCCCUAUCUAGAGUUCCUAAAUUACCCCUUUAAGCCUUGUUAAUUACUUCAAAGACCAGACACAUAUGGGUCAAAAGUCAGACUGACCCAAUGAUUUAAUUCAAAAAUCCAGGCUUGCAAGACUAGAUUGAAUCUCUUUUCCGGGCUUCUGAAUUUAAAGCCCGCAUGGAAUCAUUGGGCUAGGAAAAAUUUCCCAAGAGAAAAAUUGAAUUUCUUUUCUUUGAAAACCAGAAAAUGAAAUAACACAAAGACGCAGAGAAAUUAACACGACAUGCAUGAAGAAAACUCGUUUUAAAACAUACAAACAGAUUAAUUUAAAACGAAAACAAAACGGAAAAGAUGAAGUAAAAGGAGAUGGUAAUAGAACUUAAAAAAAACAAAAUAUGGAACAGAAGAAAAAUGACAGAAAGGAAAAGGACUGAAAAUACCUAAACCAAGUGGAAAAAGCCUUGAAAAUAUUCAAAGAAAACUCCGAUUUUUGAACGAAAUAGGCCCUAAUCGUGUGUUCUCAAACGAAAACACACGAAUAAAGCCAAUUUCGGCCUUAAACCUUCGUUAAACUCACUGAUUUGGGUUUUGGGAUUUCAGAGUUCCACAUUCGAUCUAAGAUUUGAGAAGUUCUUGUAAGAUUCGAGGGAAAUGGUGCGUGGAUUUGGAAUGAGGGGAUGAAGGGGGUGAUAUGGUGUAAAUCUGGGCCAAUUUGGUGGUGGCGCCACCACCGGAGGAUGGUGGAAUCGUGGGGUGGCUUCUAAGGUUUUCUAUUUGUUCUCUGAAGAAGGUGAAGGGUUGAGAGAGACGAGUG
This 1998-nucleotide long non-coding RNA is filed under the name Nicotiana benthamiana. RNAcentral's name for it is "long non-coding RNA (NBEN_LNC018771)". Lineage: Eukaryota; Viridiplantae; Streptophyta; Magnoliopsida; Solanales; Solanaceae. The record is from RNAcentral.